AUGCCCCGGCCACUCGCAGAGGGGUCCCGCCUCUCCCCGGCCCGGGCACGGAUCCCCGUUCCCCCCCACGGCUCCCGAGCGCCUCCGGCCGCGGGGCCGGGGAUCGUUCAGCCGCAAGAGCCGUCCGGCUGGGACCUGCCCGGAGGUCCGGGCCCCUCUCGCCUCUCCGCGGGUUUUACCGGUCGGGGCGGGCGGCGGAGCGGCUCNNNNNCGCCCCGGUGUUCCCGCAGCGCCGCUGCCGGCAGGCUGGGACGGACGCUGCCGCCCGCCCCCCGGCCCGCACUCACCGUACCCGCGGCGGGGACCAUCCCCCGGGCCGCCGCCGCCCCGCAUCGCCUCCGCUCCCCGCCGCCCCCCGCCGCCCUCCGCCGCCGCGCCGGGGCGGGGCGCGGGCGGGGGCCGGCGCUGCCCCGCCGACACCGGCACCGACUCCCGCCGCCGCUCGCCGUGCCGCUCCCGCUGCGCCUUGGAGAUCGCGACGCGGGUCCCGCUGCGCUUCGCGGUGCGGUGCCGGGCCCGGCGGGCGGGCGCGCAGUGCGGGGUAGCGGCGGCUCCAUCCCUCUCCCGCCGCAGCCGCCGGUGUCAAAUUCCAGCGGCCGUCACCUGACCGGCGGGGCGGGCACCGGCACCGCGCCCCGACCGGCACCGGGACCCCGACCCGCGCCGGACGAGACCCCGCCGGUAGCAGGAGUCGCACCCCGCAUGGUACCGGGAUCCGCACCAGCUCCCGAGCUCGGAGGGAGACUCGCACCGCGCCGGCGCCGGCACCGGGAUCCGCUGGGACCACCGGGCAGACGGAUCCCCGCAGGACGGACCGCCGGACGGACGCCUCAACAGCGCGUUGCCAGCGGCACGGACGCACGGACAGCCCGGGGACAGAACUCAGCCCUUCCCCGGGCGCUGAGGGAGGUGCCACCCGUGCAUGAGGCAGAUGGGGCUGACGUGCUCCAGCAGACGACGCGGUGUGACAGAACACAUGUGGUGGAGAGCUGUGACGCAGAUGGACCGGACGCUUGUAUCGUCCCUGUCUGGUGGUGA
Molecule: long non-coding RNA, 1038 nt
Filed under: Phasianus colchicus (ring-necked pheasant)
Lineage: Eukaryota; Metazoa; Chordata; Aves; Galliformes; Phasianidae
Description: lncRNA (ENSPCLG00000004511.1)
Source: RNAcentral